GAUGAACGCUGGCGGCGUGCCUAAUACAUGCAAGUCGAGCGAACAGACGAGGAGCUUGCUCCUCUGACGUUAGCGGCGGACGGGUGAGUAACACGUGGAUAACCUACCUAUAAGACUGGGAUAACUUCGGGAAACCGGAGCUAAUACCGGAUAAUAUAUUGAACCGCAUGGUUCAAUAGUGAAAGACGGUUUUGCUGUCACUUAUAGAUGGAUCCGCGCCGCAUUAGCUAGUUGGUAAGGUAACAGCUUACCAAGGCAACGAUGCGUAGCCGACCUGAGAGGGUGAUCGGCCACACUGGAACUGAGACACGGUCCAGACUCCUACGGGAGGCAGCAGUAGGGAAUCUUCCGCAAUGGGCGAAAGCCUGACGGAGCAACGCCGCGUGAGUGAUGAAGGUCUUCGGAUCGUAAAACUCUGUUAUUAGGGAAGAACAAAUGUGUAAGUAAUUAUGCACGUCUUGACGGUACCUAAUCAGAAAGCCACGGCUAACUACGUG
RNAcentral lists this ribosomal RNA (497 nucleotides) under uncultured bacterium. Its description in RNAcentral is "partial 16S ribosomal RNA". It matches the Rfam family "Bacterial small subunit ribosomal RNA", at positions 28 to 507 of the family's 1533-position model. The record is from RNAcentral.